CAAUUUCUGUCUAAAGUCGCCUAGAUCCUGGUAACCCUUUAUGGAAACGACAAUUUGCCUGGUAAGAGGAAGACGAAGGAAGAUGCUGGGGGUGGUAACCCUACGGCGCGAAGCAGGAAGACAUCGUUAGAGAGAAAGAAAAAGAACUAUCCACCCAAUCUUUCCAAUGAAAAUUCGUCGGGACAGGUCGAUUCAGUGACCAGGGGACGCCAACGUUAUGAACAUGAACGCAAUCGUUAUGAUAACGGUCAUAGCGGUUACGAUACAUCGGGUAUCCGUGAGUAUUGAAGUGGCAUUGCUGUUAGCAGAUGUCUGACGGAACUCGACUUAAAGGAUAUAAUUGACGUCAUUAAAAUUGGUUAUGGUAGAUGCAGACUCAAGAUUCCUGUUAGACACUACAUCUCCUUUUCCUAAAGUUACUGGCGUUAUAGAUAUAUUCAUUUCGCUAAGCAUUACAAGCAGACUUUUAAAUUGUAUCGAUCAUGUUUCAGUCAACAUGGAGGAGAGGAGUCCUGUGCGGUAAUUUCAUGCAGAAACUGCAAGGGGUUCAUGCCCCUACUGACAAAAAAUGUCCUGCGCGUGAGAAGGAUUUUGCAUUAAGAAGAUUAUGACCUUGGAGAAGGAUGCGAUUCCAUUAAAUCUUUUCGAAUCGUGUUGCUGACUUGAAGAAUGUUUCCAAUUUUCACCCUCUUAGGGUGAAUAGACCAGUUAGGAACAUUUAGAGUUCUACGGAAUUCUUAUUGAAGAUAAAUGAGAUACACUUGGAUAAGGAAUCUGAGGAAUAUUGUUGUAAACCACAUGGCGGCGGAACUUCCGGUGAAAUACAGGCUACGGUUAGAAAACUUGCUAAGGCUAUUGAAUACGAUCUACCUUUCGCAAGGGAUUUGGCGAGGACCAUUGAUACUAGUUGCUCUCAUACCCUCGCUUCGAGGACAUUUUCAAGGAGAUGGGAAAAUUGGUAAAAAAAUAUCGGCGAAUCAGGAGAUCAUAAAAGCAUUGACUUAGCAACGACGGUUACAAGUUAAUUUACACUGAUGGAUCGGUAUCUAAUGAUUCAACGGACUUUGCUUUUUAUUUUGCCAGAAUCGAUUAUGUGGCUAUGUUUUGUACGGACAAGACCCUGUUGCAUUUCCGAACAAGCCUUCAUAGACAAAGUUUA
This is a long non-coding RNA of Lucilia cuprina (Australian sheep blowfly), 1159 nucleotides long. RefSeq lists it as uncharacterized. The transcript has 3 exons. NCBI's taxonomy places the organism in Eukaryota, Metazoa, Arthropoda, Insecta, Diptera, Calliphoridae. The record is from RefSeq and is a predicted model, not a curated record.